RNAcentral lists this long non-coding RNA (275 nucleotides) under Elaeis guineensis (African oil palm). RNAcentral's name for it is "long non-coding RNA (EGUI_LNC058285)". The record is from RNAcentral. Lineage: Eukaryota; Viridiplantae; Streptophyta; Magnoliopsida; Arecales; Arecaceae.
CCAUUCAGUUACGGCCUGAAGUUGUUCAAUGACAGUAGUUUUUUCGAUGUUGGUGGUUGCCACUUUAUCCAUCCAUGCCCGACGAAGAUCGAUAAUUUUUCAAUAUCCACUCUCUAGAGCAUACAUAUCAUGUGCCCACUGAAAGAAAAGGAUGAGUCAAGUCAGAUUAAAAGAAAAAAGAAAGGAAAAAUUUCAUUGACUCACCCCAAGCCUCAUCGAAUAAAAUGAAGAAAAUAUUUUGGACACUGUCCGAUUUUUUCUGCUCUCCCCGUCAG